This 495-nucleotide ribosomal RNA is filed under the name uncultured bacterium. RNAcentral describes it as "partial 16S ribosomal RNA". It matches the Rfam family "Bacterial small subunit ribosomal RNA", at positions 28 to 523 of the family's 1533-position model. The record is from RNAcentral.
GAUGAACGCUGGCGGCGUGCCUAACACAUGCAAGUCGAGCGAAGCGAUCGAGAUGAAGCUUUCGGAUGGAUUCCUGAUUGACUGAGCGGCGGACGGGUGAGUAACGCGUGGGUAACCUGCCUCAUACAGGGGGAUAACAGUUAGAAAUGACUGCUAAUACCGCAUAAGCGCACAGUACCACAUGGUACGGUGUGAAAAACUCCGGUGGUAUGAGAUGGGCCCGCGUCUGAUUAGCUGGUUGGCGGGGCAACGGCCCACCAAGGCGACGAUCCGUAGCCGAACAGAGAGGGUGAUCGGCCACAGUGGGACUGAGACACGGCCCAAACUACUACGGGAGGCAGCAGUGGGGAAUAUUGCACAAUGGGGGAAACCCUGAUGCAGCAACGCCGCGUAAGUGAAGAAGUAUUUCGGUAUGUAAAGCUCUAUCAGCAGGGAAGAAAAUGACGGUACCUGACUAAGAAGCCCCGGCUAACUACGUGCCAGCCGCCGCAGUAA